GUAUUCACCGUGGCAUUCUGAUCCACGAUUACUAGCGAUUCCGACUUCACGGAGUCGAGUUGCAGACUCCGAUCCGGACUACGACGCACUUUUUGGGAUUCGCUCACUCUCGCAAGUUGGCCGCCCUCUGUAUGCGCCAUUGUAGCACGUGUGUAGCCCUACUCGUAAGGGCCAUGAUGACUUGACGUCGUCCCCACCUUCCUCCGGUUUAUCACCGGCAGUCUCCCUGGAGUUCCCACCCGAAGUGCUGGCAAACAAGGAUAAGGGUUGCGCUCGUUGCGGGACUUAACCCAACAUUUCACAACACGAGCUGACGACAGCCAUGCAGCACCUGUCUCAGAGUUCCCGAAGGCACCAAUCCAUCUCUGGAAAGUUCUCUGGAUGUCAAGAGUAGGUAAGGUUCUUCGCGUUGCAUCGAAUUAAACCACAUGCUCCACCGCUUGUGCGGGCCCCCGUCAAUUCAUUUGAGUUUUAAUCUUGCGACCGUACUCCCCAGGCGGUCUACUUAACGCGUUAGCUCCGAAAGCCACGGCUCAAGGCCACAACCUCCAAGUAGACAUCGUUUACGGCGUGGACUACC
This 580-nucleotide ribosomal RNA is filed under the name Vibrio harveyi. RNAcentral describes it as "partial 16S ribosomal RNA". The record is from RNAcentral. Lineage: Bacteria; Pseudomonadati; Pseudomonadota; Gammaproteobacteria; Vibrionales; Vibrionaceae.